AGGACCUCUACCAGCCAGCCUGUGGUUUUAUUCCAGUUUGUUACGUUCUGUAUUCAUGGGGGUUAAAGCACCAAUGAUUGACCUUUCUGUAGUUCAGACUCUCCACUUUAAUUUGGAGGAAAAUCAGCAUAAUCUGAAGAUAAAGCAGGCUGCGUCAAGAAAGCUCUCAUAUCCCGCCAGGGACAUCCUUGACUCUGGAGAGCAGUUCUCUGAGUUUUGCUGCCAUGUGCAGCGCACUAAGGAGGUGUGAUCUAGAAGUCGCCGUGCGCGGAUGGUGGGGAGGCUCACUGCUCUGAAAGCUAAGCACAAAUCAGCGAUGAACCGUGGCUCGCAGAAAGCCCAGGCUUGAAUGUGGCUGUCAGCUCUGCCAAGAUCCCUGGUGUGGCUCCAGGCAGGGCACUGGGCCUCCCCAGGCCUGGGUUCUCUGAUCUGCAAACUCUGGGGGUCGGAGGAGAGUUUGAAAAGGGCUCUGCCUCAGACUCUAAGGGGAGGGUGCCCCGACCCCAGGUCUCUUUGUCUGCUUUGUGCAGGUACCAUGUCGGGUGCUAGGAAAACAGUGGUGAGCAAAGACCAGAUGGUCCCUGGCAUUACGGAGUGGACGGUCGUGUGGGGAAGGCUGGCAUUCUUUGUUACCAGCAUAAAUGAAGACCCACAUCUGUGGCAGGCACCAGGAGGGAGGAGGACCCAGUGCGCUCGGGCCCCUGUGAUAACGACAAGCACGAAGGACCACCUUUGGAAAGGCGGAUGACGACGGCCCUGGCCGUCUGCACUUUGCUGGAGUAGACUGGAGGCCCUCACACCUGCGCUGCAGUCUGAGCUUGCCACUUGUCAGCAGGUGAGCUUGGGCAAGUCACGUUCCCUUUCUGGGCUUCACUUUCUCAGCUCUAAAACGUGAGUGUUCGAGCUAGACAGGGUGGUGGAGAUGACCUCAGACAGCGGGUCUCAACCAGCGCUGUGAACGAGAGUCACUCGAGAAGCUGCCAGAAAUACUGAUGCUCAGUCCCCCCCAGACCAAUAAGUCAGAAUCUCCCUGGCUGGGGCCUAGGAAUUAGGAUUUUUUAAAAAAAUUAAACACACAGUCCAAUAUUUCAUGAUUCUAUAACCUGUGCCUCAGAACUGAACCAUGUGAUGCAAUUGUAUCGGAAUAAACUGCAAGAAGCCAGAGCCUUGGGCUUGAACUCUUGGUUGAGAAGCCAUGAGUGACCUGCCUCUCUUAACAAGCAAAGUGUUUUGACCAUGAAGAAAGGAGACGUCCUUCCCUUUCCACCUCUACGUCUUUAUUGUUCUAGCUCCCAUGUCAUUCUUCUGUUACUAUCCGGAGACACCUUAAAAUCAUGUGAGGGCAUGUCUAUCUAGAGGGUUUGAAUGGUGUGUGGAAAGAACUCAGGCUUGCAGCAAACUUGGAGAUGAGUCUUAGCUUUUCCACUAACCCUGCUGGACCUCAGCCUCUUGAGUAAAAUAGAGAAAAUGAGACCUUCCCUGCAGGGUCGCUCUGAAGAUGUACUGAGGUAAUGUACGUGUAAUACAGUGCCUGGGACAGAGCUGCUCCAUAAAUGUUAAAUGAUGAAUAGAAAUGUUUGUAUAGGGAAAGGGCUAAUAUCAUUUAUAUUUAAAGGGCUUGUUGUUCGCCUUGAGACUUGUGAAGUACCCCCAACUGGAAUAUGGGCAAAGCAUAGUAAAAGAAAAUGUACAGGUAAGUACAAAGCGAUUAAACAUAUCCUCCAUCUCCACUAACUAGAGAAACUGAAAUUGAAGCAAUGAUUGACAAACAGUUGGCCAAAAGGAUGUCUGUGCCCUGCUGGUGGGAGGAAAAUGCAUCCCAAAUGUGCCACUUCCCAUGCUGUGUUAUCCAUACAGCAACACCACUUCCAAGAGCAGAAAUGCAUGUGGAUGUAAAGGGAUGUUUGUUUCACCAUUGUUUGUAAUAAAGAAGAACUGGAGAUAGCCUGAGUGUCCGUCAACAGAGGAUAGGUUAAAUUAGAGUGUAACCAUAUAAAAGGAUGCUAACACUUCACCCUUUAAAAAUACGGAGAUGGCCUGAUAUGUACUGACAUGGGAAGAUGUCUGAUUUAUUGCUCAGUGAACAAAGCUACAAACAGUAUUCACAUAGCCCUUGGUUGACUUUCCAGCUUCUGCCUCCCCAUCAGGCCAGCCUUGAAGCAGACAGCAUUGUGGUGUUGAAGGUCAUGCAUCGGGUGGGGUCGGGGGUCACUCACCGUAGGUUUGGGAGGGCCAGGGAAGUUCUAUGUACACGAGCUUCGAAGCCUUAAGGACAGACAGACUCUGAAGAAGGUUUUAGAACUGAUGGGCAGGCACCUGGGACGUAAGAAUGAGACACGUUGAAGUAAGACAGGGUGAUGAAGAGGGGUAAAGACCCCUAAAGAUGGGGGCAUGUCCCAGGUCGGUAGGGAUAAGAGGUGAGAGGGAGGCCGGGCAGAUACCUCCCGCUUGGGUCACCGUUUAAAGGCUUUAGCCAAGAAUGAGACUGACAGGGCUUGCAAUGGAAUUCAGCAAGUGCCCAUCCUCCAUGGAGAGGCCCUCAAACUGCCAAGCCCUCCCCUUAAACAGUCCUGCUCCUUCCCUUCCUGUUCUUUCAGCUGGGGAGUUGGCAGAAGAAGAAGGGGCAGGAAAUCAGAGAGGUCCCUGGGGCAGCCCUGAAAAGCAGCAGGUGGUCACAGGCCAGGAGCCCCAAGCCCAGAGCACUACUGGAAGCCACACCCUGAUUGUCUGAGGCUGGUGUGGCCUGGGGUGAAAGGGCACUUGUUUAUUUUCACAUCGAAGCUAAAGGUCAAGUGAUGCCCGGCGAGUGACAGUUUGAAAAGCAAUAAUAGUUUUUUUGAAAGGCAGGUAAUUCAGAAAUAUGAAGGCCUUGAAACAAGGGGGAGUCCAAUCCCUGCUAGUCUCUUCCGGCUGAGUAAGUCGCUGUUGGAUUUGCUUCUGUUUCAAAGCCUGUGUGGGAAGCUGUCUUCUCUUCCCCGCUGGCCCCAUCAGAAACAAUGGUGGGUGUUUACUGAUUGCAGAAAGAGGUGAGGAGGUUUUAAACCUGGACUUGGCCCAUCUUUUUAAAAUCACUGGAUGUUCCAUUCGCCUGGGAUAGCCUAUCUUUUGGAGUUCAUGGAUCAGGAAAAUAUUCUACAAAGUUUGAGGUACAUAGAAUUGUCCAUUUUUAUUUUAUCAAAUGUGUUUAUUAAAAGGAAAAUAUCUUAAACAUUUUAAAAAAUAUUUGUUUUGGUUUUGCUGGGUCUUAGUUGUGGCAGGUGGGUUCCUUAGUUGUGGCAUGUGAGCUCUUAGUUGCGGCAUGCAUGUGGAAUCUAGUUCCUGUGUUGGGAGCAAGAAGUCUCAUCACUGCGCCACCAGGGAAGUCCCAAAAGGAAAAUAUUUUAAAGAAUAUUGUUACACAGGUGAAAAAGAAGAAAGUAAGAGCAUAAAUCAGAAAAAUGGACAGUCCAUUAAACUGAAUGUAGUUAGCCUUUUUAAAAAUCCACUAUAAAAAAAAUCCACUAUAUUGACCUUUAUUUUCUUUCUUUUUUUUAAACACCCACAUUGUCAUGGCAGACUGGUGGAAACUCGAUAAGUGGCUCGGCCAUGGUGCACACAUCAGCAUUUAAAGGCCACUGACUUCGUGUUUGAGUACCAGAUGAUAAAAUUAGAUUGCGUCGUUUGUAGAAAAUUAAGUUCUUUAGCUAAACCAGAUGCUAAGCUUCUGCCCAGAAUCAGUAUACUGUUAGAAGUCUGGAAACUAAUAAACAUACCGUAACUAUUAAUUUAUGGAUGGGUUGUUGGCAGAUAACUUCAGAGAAGGAAUCCAGGCUUGAAACAGCUCUUGUAACACCAGAUGGAGUGUGUGAGUUUAAUCGAGUCCCGAGAAGGGAUAUCUGUACAGUGCCUAAAAAAAACAAAAACAAAAACAAAAAAAAAAACACUGGGAUCUGAGUUAGGCCUGAGAUAAGCUGAGAGAAGCAGGGAAAACUAGAACCUAAUUGAAACUGAUACAAGAAAUUAAGAGCCAUGCAAAGAAAACCAGAUGUUCUUUUAUGAUGAAGUGCGUUGGAGGGAAGCAGGGACAACUUAACCCACCCAGAAUCCAGUCACCUGGCAGCUUCACCCGAGGACAGGAGGCCCGAAGGAACCGGGCUGACUAACCAACUAAUGUCCUACACGUAGAGUGGUAGAGCUGGAGCGCUGUGCUCUUGGGGAAACUCUCCGGAUGACAGACCACACCCAUUGGACUCAGGCCAGGCAAUUCCUGAAGCUCCCCGCAUCGUGUGAUGAACAGUUUCCAGAUGGAGAGACAAGCCCAGAGUUGUCCGGGGACAACUUGCCCAAGGUCUCACGACUGGGCAGGAACCAGACCUCACCUGUCCCUGCUGCUGAUCCACCCCAAAGCAGAUUGAAGACACAAAUCCAGAGGAGGAAGGUGGGCACUGCGGUGACCCCUGCCGUCAGCCGGACAGCCCUCACUCAGCCUGAGAGCGAGAGGAGGAUAAAGCCUAGUUACCUGAACAACCAACCAACCAACCCUGGUGCAAAUAUUCAAGAAAUGGCAAUAUGGGUGAAAGAGUCCAACAAAUCUGAAGUCUUCCCUGCAUCACCGUGUAGACUGGCCUGUGUAAUGAGGCCCCUGAAUCCCACAGCGUUACCGAAUGUCUGCUGUGUGCCCGUAAGUGUUUAUCAGAAUAAAGUCAUACUUUGUUCACUA
Molecule: long non-coding RNA, 4699 nt
Organism: Lagenorhynchus albirostris (white-beaked dolphin)
Lineage: Eukaryota; Metazoa; Chordata; Mammalia; Artiodactyla; Delphinidae
Exons: 2
Source: RefSeq, a predicted model, not a curated record